Molecule: ribosomal RNA, 487 nt
Filed under: uncultured bacterium
Lineage: Bacteria
Description: bacterial SSU rRNA
Rfam family: Bacterial small subunit ribosomal RNA
Source: RNAcentral
GAUGAACGCUGGCGGCGUGCUUAACACAUGCAAGUCGAACGGAUUUAACAGAAAGCUUGCUUUCGGUUAAAUUAGUGGCGGACGGGUGAGUAACGCGUGGAUAACCUGCCGUAUACAGGGGGAUAACACUUAGAAAUAGGUGCUAAUACCGCAUAAGCGCACAGUUUCGCAUGAUACAGUGUGAAAAACUCCGGUGGUAUACGAUGGAUCCGCGUCUGAUUAGGUAGUUGGUGGGGUAACGGCUCACCAAGCCGACGAUCAGUAGCCGGCCUGAGAGGGUGAACGGCCACAUUGGGACUGAGACACGGCCCAAACUCCUACGGGAGGCAGCAGUGGGGAAUAUUGCACAAUGGGGGAAACCCUGAUGCAGCGACGCCGCGUGAGCGAAGAAGUAUUUCGGUACGUAAAGCUCUAUCAGCAAGGAAGAAAUACCCGACCUUUUGGUCGCUAGACGGUACUUGACUAAGAAGCCCCGGCUAACUACGUG